AGUGAACGCUGGCGGUAGGCCUAACACAUGCAAGUCGAACGGCAGCACAGUAAGAGCUUGCUCUUACGGGUGGCGAGUGGCGGACGGGUGAGGAAUACAUCGGAAUCUACUUUUUCGUGGGUGAUAACGUAGGGACACUUACGCUAUUACCGCAUACGACCUACGGGUGAAAGCAUGGGAUCUUCGGACCUUGCGCGAUUGAAUGAGCCGAUGUCGGAUUAGCUAGUUGGCGGGGUAAAGGCCCACCAAGGCGACGAUCCGUAGCUGGUCUGAGAGGAUGAUCAGCCACACUGGAACUGAGACACGGUCCAGACUCCUACGGGAGGCAGCAGUGGGGAAUAUUGGACAAUGGGCGCAAGCCUGAUCCAGCCAUACCGCGUGGGUGAAGAAGGCCUUCGGGUUGUAAAGCCCUUUUGUUGGGAAAGAAAAGCAGCAGGUUAAUACCCCGCUGUUCUGACGGUACCAAAAGAAUAAGCACCGGCUAACUUCGUG
RNAcentral lists this ribosomal RNA (492 nucleotides) under uncultured bacterium. RNAcentral describes it as "partial 16S ribosomal RNA". It matches the Rfam family "Bacterial small subunit ribosomal RNA", at positions 29 to 507 of the family's 1533-position model. The record is from RNAcentral.